Non-coding RNA from Acanthosepion pharaonis, 105 nucleotides. The record is from the annotation of a GenBank genome assembly. Lineage: Eukaryota; Metazoa; Mollusca; Cephalopoda; Sepiida; Sepiidae.
GGCCGUAUCACGUUGAAACACCGGUUCUCGUACAAUCACCGAAGUUAAGCAACCUCGAGCCUGGUCAAUACCUAGAUGGAUGACCUCUUGAGAAUACCAGGUGCU